Molecule: transfer RNA, 94 nt
Filed under: bacterium
Lineage: Bacteria
Also listed under: 2 other names
Description: tRNA-Ser
Rfam family: tRNA
About the family: Transfer RNA (tRNA) molecules are approximately 80 nucleotides in length. Their secondary structure includes four short double-helical elements and three loops (D, anti-codon, and T loops). Further hydrogen bonds mediate the characteristic L-shaped molecular structure. tRNAs have two regions of fundamental functional importance: the anti-codon, which is responsible for specific mRNA codon recognition, and the 3' end, to which the tRNAs corresponding amino acid is attached (by aminoacyl-tRNA synthetases). tRNAs cope with the degeneracy of the genetic code in two manners: having more than one tRNA (with a specific anti-codon) for a particular amino acid; and 'wobble' base-pairing, i.e. permitting non-standard base-pairing at the 3rd anti-codon position.
Source: RNAcentral
GGAGAGGUGGCCGAGUAAGGCUGAAGGCAACCGCCUGCUAAGCGGUUGUACGGGUAAAACUGUACCGAGGGUUCGAAUCCCUCCCUCUCCGCCA